UAGGGAAUCUUCCGCAAUGGGCGAAAGCCUGACGGAGCAACGCCGCGUGAGUGAUGAAGGUCUUCGGAUCGUAAAACUCUGUUAUUAGGGAAGAACAAAUGUGUAAGUAACUAUGCACGUCUUGACGGUACCUAAUCAGAAAGCCACGGCUAACUACGUGCCAGCAGCCGCGGUAAUACGUAGGUGGCAAGCGUUAUCCGGAAUUAUUGGGCGUAAAGCGCGCGUAGGCGGUUUUUUAAGUCUGAUGUGAAAGCCCACGGCUCAACCGUGGAGGGGCAUUGGAAACUGGAAAUCUUGAGUGCAGAAGAGGAAAGUGGAAUUCCAUGUGUAGCGGUGAAAUGCGCAGAGAUAUGGAGGAACACCAGUGGCGAAGGCGACUUUCUGGUCUGUAACUGACGCUGAUGUGCGAAAGCGGGGGGAUCAAACAGG
RNAcentral lists this ribosomal RNA (429 nucleotides) under Actinomycetes bacterium. Its description in RNAcentral is "Actinobacteria bacterium partial 16S ribosomal RNA". It matches the Rfam family "Bacterial small subunit ribosomal RNA", at positions 355 to 776 of the family's 1533-position model. The record is from RNAcentral. Lineage: Bacteria; Bacillati; Actinomycetota; Actinomycetes.